Non-coding RNA from Ciona intestinalis (vase tunicate), 414 nucleotides. NCBI's taxonomy places the organism in Eukaryota, Metazoa, Chordata, Ascidiacea, Phlebobranchia, Cionidae. The record is from RefSeq and is a predicted model, not a curated record.
AUUGUUGCAACUGCAGAAACCGGAUACAGAAGUUUCUGCAACAACUGAUGACUUGGCUAUAAAUACGAUCAACUCGCUUCGAUGCUUCACUUGCAAACUCAAAAUGAACAAGUUACUGCUUUUCGCUCUGGUGCUCGGACUUCUCUGUUUGAUUGAUGAAGGAGAGUCUUUGGGUCGUCGUCGUCGUCGUCGCUGGGUCCGUCGUCGUCGUUGUUGGCGCCGCCGCCGCUCCGGUGACAACGGUGUUGACGAGUCAACGGAAGCUGAGGAUGAAGAGAUUGAACCAGAAGAGAAACUAGAUUUCGACAACGAGUAAAUGAAUAUUUGUUUUCCACAGAAACAGGCAGAAGACGUAUCUCAUUCUCACUAAGAGCGUUUUUCAAAACACCGCUUCAAUAAAUUGACAAACAUAAA